Molecule: long non-coding RNA, 932 nt
Filed under: Cicer arietinum (chickpea)
Lineage: Eukaryota; Viridiplantae; Streptophyta; Magnoliopsida; Fabales; Fabaceae
Description: long non-coding RNA (CARI_LNC000260)
Source: RNAcentral
UGAUCAAAUCUACGAGAGAAGGUGGCCUUCAGUUUAUUAUUAUUAUUAUUAUUAUUAUUAUUAUUAUUACUAUUAUUACUAUUAUUAUUAUUGUUGUUGUUGUUAUUAUUAUUAAUUGUGCCAAUUAGGUGUGUUUCUGUUUUAGAAUAAAAAUGGAAAGGAAGGGAGAAUUCAUUAUUAGGAAGUUACCAAAGUGGUUAUUGAGGAGGGAGGGAACCAAGCUCUCAAAUCUUGGUGGAACUGAGUCUUGUUCCUUUUUCUUCUAGUGUUAUUCCAAUUCUGUCCGUGUGUAGUUUGUAUAAUUUGAUUAUGUUUGGAAAUUCUCUUUCAAGAGAACUGUAAAUAAUAUUCAGUAUUAUUAUCCUAAUUAUUCGAUUGGUAGAGGUUUCUAUCAUUAUAUUCUUGCUCUUGAAUACAAGAUGCAUCUUUCGGGAGCCUAGAAUAUGAUAACUCGUAGUUAAGUGUGUUUGACUUGAAGCAUUUGUAGGAUGGGUGGCCUUCUAGUAAGUUUCCAUAAAGUGUGUGAGUGAGCCCAAAACACUUAAAAGACUCAUAUUGGUUUAUAGAGACAGUCGAUAAUCUUAAUAGGAAUCUUGUAAUGUUGAGUUAGGAUUCAGAUUUACAAGAAAGCUUAUUCUCAUACAGAUUAUAAUGAUGAAGAUAAGUUUCAUAACCUGAUCAAAUCUACGAGAGAAGGUGGCCUUCAGUCCUUUUUUCUUUUUCUCAAUCUGAUCCGUAGGAAUCAAGCGAGCAUUAAAAGCACCCGGAAUUGAAUCAAAGCGAGACCUCAGUAACUCCAAUGUCCGAAUCUGAAAUCAGAAUGAAAACAGUGACUUAAGUAUUAUAAGAUCCAUAGGUCCGCAGCCACUACAGCAGAAAAACCCACAUGGCUUCCAUUAGCAUAUUAUUUUAAACAACAUAGUUUGUGAUUC